UACGUAGGUGGCAAGCGUUGUCCGGAAUUAUUGGGCGUAAAGCGCGCGCAGGCGGCCUCUUAAGUCUGAUGUGAAAGCCCCCGGCUCAACCGGGGAGGGCCAUUGGAAACUGGGAGGCUUGAGUAUAGGAGAGAAGAGUGGAAUUCCACGUGUAGCGGUGAAAUGCGUAGAGAUGUGGAGGAACACCAGUGGCGAAGGCGACUCUUUGGCCUAUAACUGACUCUGAGGCGCGAAAGCGUGGGGAGCAAACAGG
RNAcentral lists this ribosomal RNA (253 nucleotides) under uncultured bacterium. RNAcentral describes it as "partial 16S ribosomal RNA". It matches the Rfam family "Bacterial small subunit ribosomal RNA", at positions 524 to 776 of the family's 1533-position model. The record is from RNAcentral.